UGUAAAUUAGGAUUGAAAAACAAUCACUAUAGUAAAUAUGUACCCUUUUAUUAAUGUAAAUUAUUAGAUUUCAUCUCAUCUACAUGAACGUUGUUUACUUGUAACUGGAUGUUUUUAAUGUAGACAUUUGUAGUACGCAUGCGUGAAUUUGGUUUCGUGUCAACUUGCCCUGUUUACAUGUUCGCCCUUGGUUUGUUCGUCCUAAGUUCUUUUGACCAUAUAGUACGUUCUCCCUGUGUUCAUUCUCUUCACUCUUAUCAAGGACGUUUUAUAAUACGUCCUGGCAUUUAUUAAAAGAUAUUUAUAUUAAAGGUAUCGUUAAAAAAAAACCUCUUAAACACGAUUUAGUGAAAAGCAUCUGUUUCUUAUUUUGUUCCCAAGG
This 382-nucleotide long non-coding RNA is filed under the name Mytilus galloprovincialis (Mediterranean mussel). Lineage: Eukaryota; Metazoa; Mollusca; Bivalvia; Mytilida; Mytilidae. The record is from RNAcentral.